RNAcentral lists this ribosomal RNA (802 nucleotides) under uncultured bacterium. RNAcentral describes it as "bacterial SSU rRNA". It matches the Rfam family "Bacterial small subunit ribosomal RNA", at positions 8 to 798 of the family's 1533-position model. The record is from RNAcentral.
AGAGUUUGAUUCUGGCUCAGGAUGAACGCUAGCUACAGGCUUAACACAUGCAAGUCGAGGGGCAGCAUUUCAGUUUGCUUGCAAACUGGAGAUGGCGACCGGCGCACGGGUGAGUAACACGUAUCCAACCUGCCGAUAACUCGGGGAUAGCCUUUCGAAAGAAAGAUUAAUACCCGAUGGCAUAAUUAGACCGCAUGGUCUUAUUAUUAAAGAAUUUCGGUUAUCGAUGGGGAUGCGUUCCAUUAAGCAGUUGGUGAGGUAACGGCUCACCAAACCUUCGAUGGAUAGGGGUUCUGAGAGGAAGGUCCCCCACAUUGGAACUGAGACACGGUCCAAACUCCUACGGGAGGCAGCAGUGAGGAAUAUUGGUCAAUGGACGAGAGUCUGAACCAGCCAAGUAGCGUGAAGGAUGACUGCCCUAUGGGUUGUAAACUUCUUUUAUAUGGGAAUAAAGUUUUCCACGUGUGGAAUUUUGUAUGUACCAUAUGAAUAAGGAUCGGCUAACUCCGUGCCAGCAGCCGCGGUAAUACGGAGGAUCCGAGCGUUAUCCGGAUUUAUUGGGUUUAAAGGGAGCGUAGGUGGACAGUUAAGUCAGUUGUGAAAGUUUGCGGCUCAACCGUAAAAUUGCAGUUGAUACUGGCUGUCUUGAGUACAGUAGAGGUGGGCGGAAUUCGUGGUGUAGCGGUGAAAUGCUUAGAUAUCACGAAGAACUCCGAUUGCGAAGGCAGCUCACUGGACUGCAACUGACACUGAUGCUCGAAAGUGUGGGUAUCAAACAGGAUUAGAUACCCUGGUAGUCCAC